Molecule: ribosomal RNA, 353 nt
Filed under: uncultured Pseudomonas sp.
Lineage: Bacteria; Pseudomonadati; Pseudomonadota; Gammaproteobacteria; Pseudomonadales; Pseudomonadaceae
Description: bacterial SSU rRNA
Rfam family: Bacterial small subunit ribosomal RNA
Source: RNAcentral
CUGACACAGGUGCUGCAUGGCUGUCGUCAGCUCGUGUCGUGAGAUGUUGGGUUAAGUCCGUAACGAGCGCAACCCUUGUCCUUAGUUACCAGCACGUUAUGGUGGGCACUCUAAGGAGACUGCCGGUGCAAACCGGAGGAAGGUGGGGAGUGACGUCAAGUCAUCAUGGCCCUUACGGCCUGGGCUACACACGUGCUACAAUGGUCGGUACAAAGGGUUGCCAAGCCGCGAGGUGGAGCUAAUCCCAUAAAACCGAUCGUAGUCCGGAUCGCAGUCUGCAACUCGACUGCGUGAAGUCGGAAUCGCUAGUAAUCGUGAAUCAGAAUGUCACGGUGAAUACGUUCCCGGGCCUU